Molecule: ribosomal RNA, 118 nt
Filed under: Bacillus inaquosorum
Lineage: Bacteria; Bacillati; Bacillota; Bacilli; Caryophanales; Bacillaceae
Description: partial 23S ribosomal RNA
Rfam family: Bacterial large subunit ribosomal RNA
Source: RNAcentral
GAUUUCCCAUUCCGCAAGGAAGUAAGAUCCCUGAAAGAUGAUCAGGUUGAUAGGUCUGAGGUGGAAGUGUGGCGACACAUGGAGCUGACAGAUACUAAUCGAUCGAGGACUUAACCAA